RNAcentral lists this long non-coding RNA (1563 nucleotides) under Homo sapiens (human). RNAcentral describes it as "long non-coding RNA NONHSAT017611.2". The record is from RNAcentral. Lineage: Eukaryota; Metazoa; Chordata; Mammalia; Primates; Hominidae.
GGAGAGACUGGCUGGCCCAAAGACCAGCAACCACUUGGCCGUGGCUGUCCCUUUCUGGAGGAGCUGUGGCUGCAGCAGAUCCCUGUGACUUAGUCCCAGCCCUCACAGGGCCUGCACCAGCACCAGGAGGCUCAUGACCAGGGCCAUGGAGAAGAAGAUGGCCAGGAAGAAGCGGUCCAUCACACGGGCCAGGCGCUUCCAGUCCUCAUGGCAGCGCUGGGCAGCUCGGUGGCUGCGGAAGGUAUUGGCAAUGGUGGCUACGUGGUGCAGUAGGGCUUCCUGGCGGCACAGACAUCGUGGCUCGUGGCAAGGGCCCGCUGGGGGGCCAGCCCCUCCUUCAGGCGACUGGGGGCUAGGAGAUAACUCAGGUGGCCUGGACUGCCCACAGGGCUCCCCUCUUUCCCGCACGCACAGGCCCCGUGCCAGGUGUCCCAGCAGGAGGGCCCUAGCCCAGGCUGGCACUGGGCGGACACUGGGACCACAGUAAUGCAGGUUCAUGAUAAGGAUGGUGAGUGCUGUUGAGAAUGUGACCAUGGUCAUAGUGGCCAUGUAGUACUUCCCUGCAAGAGAGAGAGAAAGCCAAUUGACUCAAAACAAAAGCCUGUGGUUCCUGAGCUUCCCAGCCACCUCUGCACAAAUGGAAAUAAGCCCACCAUGAAGCUCUCCAGACCCUCCAAGCCCCAUGGAUGGAAGCAGGAAGGAGGUAAGGGCCGAGUUCUCCCCAUCCUUCAUUCCUACACGUGGGUCAUCGGAAGCUACUGCUCUCUAAUUGCUCCCGUCACUGCUGGAGGCUGCACUCAUACACAAUCCAGGACAGUCCCGCUCUCAAAUAACGACGGGCAUGAGCUGGGGCAAGAUACGAAUCCUUUUUGUACAAAUGGGAUACCCAGAGGACCUACUUCCUAGGUUUGUGGUGAUGCUUACCUGAGUUAAUAAAGGUCAAGUGCUUAGGGGAGUGCCUGGCACACAGCAAGCAGUCGACAGAUUUUGCCUAUCAUUAGGAUCUGGGGAUACUGAUGUUCCAUCAUCAAGGGCCAAGUCGUGAGGGGUGUUCUCCCUGGAAGGAGCUAAUCCUUUCCCCUCAGUCUUAAAAUGAGGGCACGUUCCCAGGACGCCCCCCUCUCACUUUCUGCAGUGGGGCCGUUCCGCAGACCCAGGCCCUGUCGCGGCCCCGCCCUGGGGGGACCCCAGCGCAUCGUCAGGUCCCCCCGCGCCCCCGCUGCUCACCGAUGAGCGGCACGCUCUCGGCCGGUGGCAUGCUCUCGGCCAGCAGCAACUGGAAGACGGUGAGCGCCAGCAGCACGGUGACGCCCAGCGACACCUUCUCGCCUGAGUCGGCAGGCAGGUGGAAGGCGAGCGGCGCAAGCAGCGAGAUGAGCACGCAGGGCAGCAGCAGGUUGCACACGUAGGCGGCGGCGCGGCGGCGCAGCAGCAGCGUGAAGGUGACGUCGGGGUAGGGCUCGGAGCAGCAGCCGUAGGUGAGCACGCGCCGCCGCGCCGGCAUGCCCAGCACGCGCCACUCCACGUUCUCCACGAAGUCCGCCAGGCUGGCUGCAGCGCCGC